Balaenoptera acutorostrata (minke whale) is the source of this 859-nucleotide long non-coding RNA. RefSeq lists it as uncharacterized. The record is from RefSeq and is a predicted model, not a curated record. NCBI's taxonomy places the organism in Eukaryota, Metazoa, Chordata, Mammalia, Artiodactyla, Balaenopteridae. The transcript has 3 exons.
ACGGUAGACGAGAAUGGCCGUUUAUGACUUUAGUACAGUGCUUGCAAACUUCAGUCUCCAUCAGAAUCACCCAGAACGCUUGUUAAAGCACAGACUGCUGAUUCCAGAGUUUCUGAUUCUAUUCUGGUCUGGGCUGGUGUUGGAGGAAGAAUCGAGAGGGCAUGACCACUGAUUGACCCACCAGCUGGACUCAGCCAGUCGCAGGCUCCGCCCACACCCUUUGUCUUUGGAAUGUACGCUCAGCCUACUUUCCCACAGUGGGAGCUGUUUCAAGGACGUAGCCUUGAGAGAGAAAGGUAUUGUUGAGACUGUCUGGACUGAAUAUAUGACUGAAUCCAGUUAAGGUCUCUUUAACUUGAAGGUUUUGGUGGGCAGGUACAGGGAUCUACUCGUCUUGCAGGCGCCCAAGACAAGCCUCCUAAGAGAGAGCACAAACGCAGUCCCCCACGACCACAAAUUAUGCAACUGAGUUUCUUUCACACAUUUGGGGAAAUUGCAAGGGUCGGCACACUCGGAGUGCAACGGAGGAGCCUUGCCCUGGGAAACACCACCUUCUUGAUCGUGGUAUUUCCCCUGCCAGUGGAUAAGAAUCCGCCUGCCAAUGCAGGGGACACGGGUUCGAGCCCUGGUCCGGGAAGAUCCCACAUGCCACGGAGCAACAAAGCCCAUGCCUCACAACUACUGAGCCUGUGCUCUAGAGCCCAUGAGCCACAACUACUGAAGCCCACACGCCUAGAGCCCGUGCUCCACAACAAGAGAAGCCACUGCAAUGAGAAGCCCGCGCACCGCAACGAAGAGUAGCCCCCGCUCGCCGCAACUAGAGAAAGCACAAGCACAGCAACGAAGACCCAACGCAGCC